GUCGGUGGCCGAUUCUCCCCACCGGGCCGAGCUCCCCGCGGUGGAAGUCAGUUGAAUACGAAUCCGGCUUUGGGGACGGAUUUUAUGUUUCUGGGCCUCGUUUUCCUGGUGUGUGCGGUUUUAGAGCAUACGGUAAACGAAGCCUCUUGAGGCUCACUCGGGGGGUUCACAACGUGUGGGCCAGUGUGUGCUCCUGUCUGCACGAGGGUCACUGUUCUGUGUCAGGAACAGUCUUCCAGCCGGGCCGGGCCGGGCCGGGCCAGCAAAAUUCCCGGAGGCUCUGAUGUCCCUGCAGAGGCGCUGAGAGGCACCAGUAGGAAUCCAGCUCAGGCGUUGCUGGUCUGUCCGUAGUGCUGACGGGGGUCUCGGGGGGCCAGGGGCAGUGUGCCAGGAGCUCUCAGUGGAAGGGUGGGGAGGGUCAGGAAGGGCUUGAUGACCUCGGAAGGACCCUGAGAGUCCUGCUUUGCUUUCUCAGGUCCCUGCAAGGAGGCUCCCAAGGCAUUGGCCCCACGGAGCUGGUCUCUGCGGCCCAGGCAUCUACGUGGUGGUUUUGGACCCAGAUGGACGCCAGUAUUGUAUUGACCAUGCGCUACCAGUGACUUCACAUGGCGCAAACCUACACGCCCAACUCAAAAACCACACAGCACUCACGUUGGGGGACUCGCUGUGGUGACGUAGGUGCGUCAGGGAAUAAGGCAGACGCCACACGAAGGGACCUGGUGGCGGAGGGAAGUGUGAGUCCUGGUGGCAGCUCGGAGGAGGCGGCGUGACGCCUGCCCCAGGCAGGACUUUGCCCAGCCGUGAGUGAGUGCACGGCGCCCAGGGGAAGGGGCAGCCACAGGGGCCAGGACGGCGGUGAGCAUGAAGCCAUGGGACCACCCCUUGUGUUUUAGGGGAGCAGCGGCCUGGGGAGCGCGUGUUUGGGACUGAUGGCCAGGCGGGGUCUGAGGGAGGAGGGGAGGGCUGCCUUUCCUUAGCCCGUCUUUCUUCCCGUAAUCGGAAGUUCCGUUUCUGUAACCCAACGCUGAAUGUCCGAAUGAGAAUUCAGGGUGCUCUACGGGAGAGAAACGUGUGUCAGAGCUGAGACGCAAAUCUCACCUGUUUUAGGGGUUUUUCCCAAACAGGUUAAAAUUGGCACUUUUAACGAAAUCCU
RNAcentral lists this long non-coding RNA (1153 nucleotides) under Felis catus (domestic cat). Its description in RNAcentral is "lncRNA (ENSFCAG00000051763.1)". Lineage: Eukaryota; Metazoa; Chordata; Mammalia; Carnivora; Felidae. The record is from RNAcentral.